Malania oleifera is the source of this 156-nucleotide ribosomal RNA. RefSeq annotates it as 5.8S ribosomal RNA. NCBI's taxonomy places the organism in Eukaryota, Viridiplantae, Streptophyta, Magnoliopsida, Santalales, Ximeniaceae. The record is from RefSeq and is a predicted model, not a curated record. The transcript has a single exon.
GACUCUCGACAAUGGAUAUCUCGGCUUUCGCAUCGAUAAAGAAUGCAACAAAAUGCGAUACUUGGUGUCCAUUGCAGAAUCCCAUGAAUCGCCGAGUCUUUGAAUGCAAGCUGUGCCCGAAGCCAUUCAGUCGAGGGCACGUCAACCUGGGUGUCA